ACUUUGUUCCCACUCCAAGGCCUUUACAUGGGCCAUUCCUUCAACCUCCCAAGAUCCUUGCCACUUCUUUCCCCUCUGCAACUCUCAGGUAAAGAUCGUAUCACCUAACACCCAGCCUCUGCCAGCACUGGAUUCCUGGACUAAAGCAGCUCCUGAGACCAGACACAAGCUAUUUAGUUAAAUGAACAACUCAAUUCAGUAAUCACAGAUGCUCCCAAACCCUGGCGACAAGGAAUUUCCACGAGACAAAGGAGUCCUGCCAAGCAGAGCUGGUUUUCAAAGACCGGCAAACCCACAAGGAAACAACUCACUGUGAGGGGAGAGAAGACAGGACCACUAGGACGCCAACAAGUGGGGCGCUGGUUUACAAGAGCUACGAGCAAAUACUCAGAACACUACAGAACCGCCUUGAAGGUUCGUAGGUAAGACUGAGCUAUACUGGUUCUCCAGUAUAUCGGGGUGACAUAAAGAAGCCAAGUUUUGUUCAUGAUCCUAGGCCAGACCACACCCAGAUUGAGAUGUGGGAUAAGACAAGCCCAUGACAAACUAAGGGUGGUGGGUGAGCCACAAGAUGACAGCCUUUUCUGGGCUAUAGGAGUCAGAUAAGCAGGGAGUCAAGGAAAGGCUCACAAGAGGACACGUUCAUUCCUCACAGCUUCCCAGGGAGCCACGAGGGUCAGCACGCUGAAGCAACCCUGGGUGCCUGCGUCCCUGACUUUGAAGGCUGGUGAGAAAUUCCGUCUCAGACGUUCCCCUCUGCUUCAGCACAAGAACGCUGAGAAAUAGUCUCCGUUUGGGUGCCUGUAAAGCACUCAUUGUCCAGGCCUAUGAUGUGAUUCAUGACGACAGCUGCUCCACACCCUCCCCACACGGUGGCAAUUAAGGGUCGUUUGUCAUAACUCCAAAGCCAAGGUCCAGUCCUUUCACUAAAUCCCCAUUUAUCCCAACCCUCUUGUCAGAGAAGGAGUAAAUCGAGAUUCCUGAGGAUGAGGAUCGCUUGUCUAGAGCCACCGCGUGUUUAUCCAAUAAUGCAGCAAAGCUUUCCCACUUUUUGGACCAGCGGUAUUUCCGCUGGCACGCCCUACUGACUAGCAUCCUCAGGCCACAGCUAUCUCACACCCACCCCAGGUGGAUCAAAUCCACUGCUCUCCCCAAGGAGGUCACAGUCCCGCUGAGUGAAUCAGAUCUCUGUGAAUGAUAUGGGAGUAGAUGGUGAUAGAGCUCCCUGUGGGCAGAUCUGAGAGACCUCACCUUUUAGAUACACCUUGGCAGCCCUUCCCUUCUCCCAGCCUCCUCUGCCUAUCUCCUUAACUGCUGGAGCUAAAUCCUUUCCUCAUUAGACAGACCGUCUCUCUGUGCUAACUUUGGUUUGUCAUAAACAUUUCUCUUCCACAAAAUGUAAUUCCAAAUCACUUACGAGUUACAAAACCUCCCCAGAACUUCUUUUCAAAACUACAGGUUGCCCAUGCGUGCAUCUAAAGACUGAGGUCUCCGUCCCCUUGUUCACGAACCUUCUAGACUUUCCAUUUCUUACAGUCUAGCUCAGCAGCUCUGAUUCUCUCCUUUGCUUUGGGUGACUUUCCAACAAACUCAAAUCCCCUUUCUGAAGGGAGAAAUAGGGAACAAAAUCCCAGAGCAAGUAAGAGGCAGAUCUGGACCCGAGGUUGGGUCUAGGACUGGGUGCAAAGGUUGAUCUAUGAUCAAGUCCAUGAGCUGGUCUAUGGCAGGUCAGUGCCUAGGUCUAUGGCUAGAUGUAGGGUUGAGACCAUGACGGAGUCUGUGGCUGACUCUAUGGCUGGAUUGGAGCUGGAAUUAGAUAUUUUCUGUGACUGAAUCCAUGUUAUAGAAAUGGUUAUGACUGUGUUCAUGGCUUGGUUCAAGUCUAGGUCCAUGGGUGGAACUGGAACUGAAUCCAGGGAUCACUCUGUUGCUAAGUCCAGGGUUGGUUUCUUACCUGUGUCCAGGGCCAGAUCCAGAAUGGGGCCCAUAGCUAGAUCCGUGCUGUAUCUAUGGCUGUGUGCCAUGCCUGUGUUCUUGGGUUGGUUCAAAGAAGUUCUAGUCUGAAUACAGCUGGCUCUAUGGAUAGGCUUAUGGUUAGAUCUAUGGUCGAUGGCUGGAUGCCCUAUCCCUGUGGCCAUAGUAACCCUAUCUGCCCUUCUAAACAAGUGGCCUCAGAGCCUUGGUCUGGCCCUUCUGCUGUUACUGCAGAUGGGGUUGUGAGCAGAGCCAGAUCUGUUCUGCAGUCCCUGUGACCUCCAACCAGCCUGGGCCAUAAUCUAAGAUCUUAGCUUCCUACAUAUGAAAUGAUCAGAUGAGGCUGAGAUUUUGGCCUACAAGCUGUGUCUUAUGGAGCCCUAAGUUUUUUGUGCACUUUUCCCAAGGCCUGGCAUGGAAGGUCGAGCUUGCAAACUGAACAUUACCCUCAGUUAAGUCUUCUCUAACUGGAACGAGCUAGCAUGAAUGAAGCCUUCACACAGGAAAACUGAAACAACUCAGGGGUUCCUCUUUACAUUCUGUUAACACAUGAUUUUACAGCCACAAAGGGACUAUUAUUAUACAGUUGGGGAAAUGAAGAUACUAAAAGAAUAUAAUUGUCUGAUCAAUAUAUUUGAGCAUUUUAUUUGUGGCUUAAUAAAUUCCCAAUGUCUGGAGGAAAAAAAGAGAAA
Rattus norvegicus (Norway rat) is the source of this 2666-nucleotide long non-coding RNA. RefSeq lists it as uncharacterized. NCBI's taxonomy places the organism in Eukaryota, Metazoa, Chordata, Mammalia, Rodentia, Muridae. The record is from RefSeq and is a predicted model, not a curated record.